This 497-nucleotide ribosomal RNA is filed under the name uncultured bacterium. Its description in RNAcentral is "partial 16S ribosomal RNA". It matches the Rfam family "Bacterial small subunit ribosomal RNA", at positions 28 to 507 of the family's 1533-position model. The record is from RNAcentral.
GAUGAACGCUGGCGGCGUGCCUAAUACAUGCAAGUCGAGCGAACAGACGAGGAGCUUGCUCCUCUGACGUUAGCGGCGGACGGGUGAGUAACACGUGGAUAACCUACCUAUAAGACUGGGAUAACUUCGGGAAACCGGAGCUAAUACCGGAUAAUAUAUUGAACCGCAUGGUUCAAUAGUGAAAGACGGUUUUGCUGUCACUUAUAGAUGGAUCCGCGCCGCAUUAGCUAGUUGGUAAGGUAACGGCUUAUCAAGGCAACGAUGCGUAGCCGACCUGAGAGGGUGAUCGGCCACACUGGAACUGAGACACGGUCCAGACUCCUACGAGAGGCAGCAGUAGGGAAUCUUCCGCAAUGGGCGAAAGCCUGACGGAGCAACGCCGCGUGAGUGAUGAAGGUCUUCGGAUCGUAAAACUCUGUUAUUAGGGAAGAACAAAUGUGUAAGUAACUAUGCACGUCUUGACGGUACCUAAUCAGAAAGCCACGGCUAACUACGUG